Molecule: long non-coding RNA, 762 nt
Organism: Camellia sinensis
Lineage: Eukaryota; Viridiplantae; Streptophyta; Magnoliopsida; Ericales; Theaceae
Source: RefSeq, a predicted model, not a curated record
GAUAGAGUUUGUGUAGUGACCCGGGUCGAACCCGAUCCUUUUUACCUUUCCAUUUGGAUUGUGUUUGUUUUGGGUUGACUUUCACCUUGUCUUGUUAAGUUGUGGCUUUAGAACACCUUGGGUUGUCUUUAGAAAAUCAAAAUAGAAAUCUGCCUGAAGUCUGUUAACGCUCAUGGUCAUGGGAAUUGUGCCCGUAACCAAAAAUCACUACCAAUACUUUGUUUGCAGAAUUCCCUGGUGCUCGCAAGCUUGCCCGCGACUAUGUCAAUUGCACCCGCGAUGGUCCUUUUAUUUAAGACAUUAGUUUGCGUGAACCUUUUUUUUUUUUUUCCUGCUUUUCUCUCUCUUAUUCUCUCUCUUUUCGCCAUAACUGAGCUUUCAAGCUCUUUAACCUUUGGUUUCAUCUACCUAGGGUCAAAAUCUCACUCUAGUUCUUUAUACCAAAAUGUAGAGCUCGAUGAGAGCUUUCUUUUGAGCUGAUUAGAUCGUGAUUUCAUCGAUGUCGAUUUUUUGGUCUUUUUCUCUUCGCUUUAAGAGGUGCAAGUUAGAGGAGUUACUCAAGGCUACAGAGUCUCUUAUUGUUGGCCACGGGUCCUCAUACUUGCAGGUGGGAUGCUAAUUUGUUGGAAAGAGGGUUAACACCUCUUAUUUCAUUGUGUUUUAAUUUCUUCAAUGUAAACCUAAGGGCAUCAGUUGUAAACAAUUGUAUUUGGAUAUGUCAUCAUAGUAUACACGAGAGAGCAUUUAUUGCUUAUUUAUUUA